This 382-nucleotide ribosomal RNA is filed under the name uncultured eukaryote. Its description in RNAcentral is "partial 18S ribosomal RNA". It matches the Rfam family "Eukaryotic small subunit ribosomal RNA", at positions 592 to 976 of the family's 1831-position model. The record is from RNAcentral.
UGUAAGCGUAUACCAAAGUUGUUGCAGUUAAAACGCUCGUAGUCGGAAUUUGGCAGUUCCGGAUGUGUGCACGUCGUGUGCGCACUUCGCGGGGAUUGCUUUUGUGGUCUUGCGUAGGAUGAGGCACUUUUAUUAGUGAACGUCCUCACGCAACCACUUUUUACUGUGAGAAAAUCAGAGUGCUCAAAGCAGGCAUUUGCCGUGAAUGUAUUAGCAUGGAAUAAUAGAAUAGGACUUGGUUCUAUUUUGUUGGUUUGUUGGGACUGAGUAAUGAUUAAGAGGGACAGUUGGGGGCAUUUGUAUUUUGGUGCUAGAGGUGAAAUUCUUAGAUUACCGAAAGACAAACUGCUGCGAAAGCGUCUGCCAAGGAUGUUUUCAUUGA